UAAUGCUCAGGUGACCACCAGAUUCCUACCGCUGGGUGUCUGGGGUUUCAUCAGGAUUCCCCAGGUCAAGGGCAACUGGGGAGCAGCCCCAGCAGGCAUAUAGAAUUCCAGCCCCUAACUAUCUCAGUGUGCUUCCUACAAGCCCCUCAAAUGCUCCUAGGGGCCAGCCGCCAGAACCCUGUAAUGGAGCCCUCAAUUCCUUUCUAAGGGAAAACCUUCAGACCAAAUGCUCUGGAAAGAAACUGCUCAGAGGCUAAGAAUAGACAUGGCAGGUGGGAGCCCCGGGGUGGCAGCGGGUGGACUGUGCCUGCACUGUCCAUCUGCUCUCCCCGGGGGUGGCUUGAGCUCAGAUAACUGUGGGCAGGCAUUUCGGAAACUCCAAUCUAGGCUGACAAUCCAUGGGAAAGAGCCAGCUGCCUCCCAGGCACAACUGUCACCAUAGUAUAAAUCAGAGGCCAAGGGGUCCUUAGAGAAAUGCAUUUUUUUUCUAACGUUAUCAAGGAGCCAGUACAAAAUGCCACUCACAUUCUUAAAGUAACUUGGAGGAAAACUGUAUGCAGCCUCUCAGAUAGAGGAUAAGAACGGCGCAAUAGCCCCUGGAAGGCUGAGGGAGCAUGACAGAAGAGGGCCUCUUACGUUCUCAUGGGAGCGUCACUGGCUGAGAUCUUGGACAGUUGGGCAAUUUUUGAAAUACACAAAUCCUUUGCUCUACCAACCCCGGCCUACACAACAUCUACCCACAGAAAUCUUGGCUCAAGCAAACAAGGAUAGAGAGCCCUGUGACCAUCAACAAAACAGCUACAAGAAGCACCCAGGCCACGUGACCAGACCUGAGCUGGCUUUGGGUCUCAGAUACUUGGAGGAGCCCAGCAAAAUCAGCAAAGCGGACCUGCAGUUGAUGGCAGAUACAUGGGAAUGCUCAGCCAGGAGCAGAGGCUCAUUUGCUGAGCCCAGUGAAGCUGAUGAUAUGCAAAGUGUAAGCUAAGUAAAUGCCUUAUUUUUA
Molecule: long non-coding RNA, 1003 nt
Organism: Peromyscus leucopus (white-footed mouse)
Lineage: Eukaryota; Metazoa; Chordata; Mammalia; Rodentia; Cricetidae
Exons: 2
Source: RefSeq, a predicted model, not a curated record